RNAcentral lists this ribosomal RNA (373 nucleotides) under uncultured organism. Its description in RNAcentral is "bacterial SSU rRNA". It matches the Rfam family "Bacterial small subunit ribosomal RNA", at positions 526 to 896 of the family's 1533-position model. The record is from RNAcentral.
CAGAGGUAGCAAGCGUUGUUCGGAAUUACUGGGCGUAAAGGGCGCGUAGGCGGCCAUCUAAGUCAGACGUGAAAUCCCCCGGCUUAACCUGGGAACUGCGUCUGAUACUGGACGGCUAGAGUAUGGGAGAGGGAUGUAGAAUUCCAGGUGUAGCGGUGAAAUGCGUAGAUAUCUGGAGGAAUACCGGUGGCGAAGGCGGCAUCCUGGACCAUUUACUGACGCUGAGGCGCGAAAGCUAGGGGAGCAAACGGGAUUAGAUACCCCGGUAGUCCUAGCCCUAAACGAUGAAUGCUUGGUGUGGCGGGUAUCGAUCCCUGCCGUGCCGAAGCUAACGCAUUAAGCAUUCCGCCUGGGGAGUACGGUCGCAAGGCUG